ACGCUCGACACCUACGGGAGGCAGCAGGUGGGGAAUAUUGCACAAGUGGGGGAAACCCUGAUGCAGCAACGCCGCGUGAAAGGAAGUACGGUUUUCGGAUUGUAAACUUCUGUUCUUAGUGAAGAUAGUGACGGUAGCUAAGGAGCAAGCCACGGCUAACUACGUGCCAGCAGCUGCGGUAAUCUGAGCGGGCUGGCAAGGC
Molecule: ribosomal RNA, 202 nt
Filed under: uncultured bacterium
Lineage: Bacteria
Description: partial 16S ribosomal RNA
Rfam family: Bacterial small subunit ribosomal RNA
Source: RNAcentral